RNAcentral lists this microRNA (22 nucleotides) under Callorhinchus milii (elephant shark). RNAcentral's name for it is "Cmi-Novel-15_3p (mature (guide))". The record is from RNAcentral. Lineage: Eukaryota; Metazoa; Chordata; Chondrichthyes; Chimaeriformes; Callorhinchidae.
AAGAUCAAAGAAACGAUUAAGG